RNAcentral lists this ribosomal RNA (253 nucleotides) under uncultured bacterium. Its description in RNAcentral is "partial 16S ribosomal RNA". It matches the Rfam family "Bacterial small subunit ribosomal RNA", at positions 524 to 776 of the family's 1533-position model. The record is from RNAcentral.
UACGAGUGUGUCAAGCGUUGUUCGGAUUUACUGGGCAUAAAGGGCGCGUAGGCGGGUCGCUAAGUCAGCUGUGAAAUCCCACGGCCCAACUGUGGAAGGGCAGUUGAUACUGGCGAUCUUGAGUGCGGGAGAGGAGAGCGGAACUUCUGGUGGAGCGGUGGAAUGCGUAGAUAUCAGAGGGAACGGCAGAGGCGAAGGCGGCUCUCUAGUCCGCUACUGACGCUGAGGCGCGAAAGUCAGGGGAGCGAACGGG